Molecule: ribosomal RNA, 253 nt
Filed under: uncultured bacterium
Lineage: Bacteria
Description: partial 16S ribosomal RNA
Rfam family: Bacterial small subunit ribosomal RNA
Source: RNAcentral
UACGUAGGGUGCGAGCGUUGUCCGGAAUUACUGGGCGUAAAGAGCUCGUAGGCGGUUUGUCGCGUUGUUCGUGAAGUGCCACAGCUUAACUGUGGGCGUGCGGGCGAUACGGGCAGACUGGAGUACUGCAGGGGAGACUGGAAUUCCUGGUGUAGCGGUGGAAUGCGCAGAUAUCAGGAGGAACACCGGUGGCGAAGGCGGGUCUCUGGGCCGAUAUCGACGCUGAGGAGCGAAAGCGUGGGGAGCGAACAGG